Small nucleolar RNA from Cynara cardunculus var. scolymus (artichoke), 107 nucleotides. The record is from RefSeq and is a predicted model, not a curated record. Lineage: Eukaryota; Viridiplantae; Streptophyta; Magnoliopsida; Asterales; Asteraceae.
AUGCCAUGGUGAGGACAUUUUCUCAGCAACUCUAUCUACCAAUCCCAAGCAUCAGAAUCUGCUUCAUCAUCCAAUUGUCUGAAAGUAUGGAUUUUAUUUAUGGACUU